UGAUCUCAAAUCAGGUAGGAUUACCCGCUGAACUUAA
Molecule: ribosomal RNA, 37 nt
Filed under: Podoserpula ailaoshanensis
Lineage: Eukaryota; Fungi; Basidiomycota; Agaricomycetes; Amylocorticiales; Amylocorticiaceae
Description: partial 28S ribosomal RNA
Source: RNAcentral